Non-coding RNA from Paramuricea clavata, 933 nucleotides. The record is from the annotation of a GenBank genome assembly. Lineage: Eukaryota; Metazoa; Cnidaria; Anthozoa; Malacalcyonacea; Plexauridae.
UUCGAGUCAAGAACAAAAUAUUGCAAAUGGUUCAAAUUCUCAACAUCUUCUUGAGCAAAAUAUAAUAACAUAGCACCCAUAAGCAAGAAUGUCAUCGCAACGAAAGACUUCGCUAAAGUUCUCCCGCUUAAUAUAAACAUCGCCAUACCGAAUAGGUUACACCUUGCAUGCUAAUAUGUAUUCUAAGUAUCAUAUUACAUGGAAGCAACAUGACAAAAAUUUUGUCCUGCCGCAGGUUAGCCUUUUACAAUAUUUACAAGGGUUUCUUGUCAUAAAUAUGAGUUUACAAGACUCAGUUAUGUCAAUUAACUGUACAUACUGUUGAUUGCAAUCAACCACGCCGCGCGCCGAAUUCGACGAGUUGUUUGCCUCCUUAGGGAGUGUUCAUUAUUUAUACUCGGGGUUGGUACCGAAGAGAAACUAAUCGAAAAGAGAAAAAAACAACCACCCACCCUUUCGGUCAACCAUUUUUUUCCCUACCCAACUAUUGCAUGACUUGGAUUUUUAUUUUACCCAACCCAAUUUCAAAAUUAUAUACAAGUAUUUUACAUACAUACAUACAUAUAUAUUAUUUAUACAAGCUAGGCCACUGUAGUAUAAACAGUACUAUGCAUAUUUGGUGCACUAACUGAAUGUAAAAUAUAAUCAUUUGUACCUUCACAAGUUCAUAUAUAUAUUAUGUUCCCAAGUUCCUGCAGUCCUAGUAAUGUCUCGUUGUUGUAAUCAGAGGGGUGGGGAGUUGGAGUUUAGUUUUCUUUGUGGGGAAUGAAUAGAUAUUUCCUGGAAUGACCCAUUUUGUUAAAUAAAGGAUUUUCAUUAUUUUGUUCUAUUGAACGUUUGUAUUAAAAAUAAUUUACCCAACCAUAGGCUUUGUUCAAAAAAUAUUUACCCAACCCUUCAUACCCCAGAAAAAUGGCUUACCCAACCCAUUUC